Molecule: non-coding RNA, 57 nt
Organism: Dipodomys ordii (Ord's kangaroo rat)
Lineage: Eukaryota; Metazoa; Chordata; Mammalia; Rodentia; Heteromyidae
Source: Rfam
UGGCUCAGUGGUAGAGCGCUUGCCUUGCAUGCAUGAGGCCUUGGGUUUGAUUCCUCA